Molecule: long non-coding RNA, 2943 nt
Filed under: Elaeis guineensis (African oil palm)
Lineage: Eukaryota; Viridiplantae; Streptophyta; Magnoliopsida; Arecales; Arecaceae
Description: long non-coding RNA (EGUI_LNC032858)
Source: RNAcentral
UUCCAAGAGAAUGGAAUUCAACAAAGUGAUAUGGUUGAAACCAAGCUAGAGAAUCUGUCAGUGGAAGAGACAGAAAGCAGAGAAGAGAAAAGCUUAGUUCCAAUUUCUAAUGAGGAACCUCGAAGACUCAGUUCUCAAAGAAAUGAAACACCACGGCUAGUAGAUUUCCUUAAAGGUAUGAAUUAUGGUGCACAUGACAAUGACAGCCAAUCAUUCAGCACACUUCCACAAUUGGCAGAAUACAUAGAGCCUCUGUACGAGACCUUCUUCUGUCCAUUAACAAAGAAAAUCAUGGAUGACCCAGUCACAAUCGAGAGCGGUGCAACAUAUGAGAGAAGAGCUAUAGCUGAGUGGUUUGAGAAAUCUAAAGAUGGUUCAGAGGUUUUAGUUUGUCCAACAACUGGGAUGAAACUACACAAUAGAGUUUUAAACACAAACAUAGCAUUGAAGACCACGAUAGCAGAAUGGAAAGAAAGAAAUGAAGCUACCAGAAUUAGAGUAGCUCGAACUGCUUUAUCAUUAGCCACCUCUGAGGCUAUGGUAUUGGAUGCAAUAAGAGAUCUGCAAAUCCUUGCUCAGAAGAGAAGAUACAACAAAAAGCAGAUGCAUAAUGUUGGCAUUACAAAGCUACUUACACUGUUUCUGGAACAUGAGGACCUGAAGGUCAGGUGUGAAGCAUUGGACAUUUUGCGCUUAUUGGUGGAGGAUGAAGAUGGAAAGGUUUCAUUCUGGGAACUUCAUGCUUACAUAUUAUUUGGGCCCAGUCCUUGCUAAUGAGAGCAAUAUCCAAAAAUAGAUAAUCUUGUUCAUGCAAGAGGAAAAUCUUCCAUGGACUAAGGAUUAACUUGCUGAUUGCUAAAACCUCUUUUGCCCAAUAAAGGCAACCAUGUCCGUAGGAACGCAUAUUUUCAUAAGCCUCUGAGCCACCAAGUAGUUUUCUGAGUGAAGAGACUUAUUUAAGUAGAACCAUUCAGGGUAAUCAUGCUCUUUUUUUUGGCUGCUACUAUAAUUGGAAAAAGAUCAAAACCUGUGACCAAUAUUUUGCAUAGAAAAGAGUCAGAUAGUCAGGAACCAUAAUAGUGAAGCUCUUCCUCUUGCAUGAAAGAAAGCUGGUCUCAUUUUUCCUAGAAAAAGCAAUAUUAACAUAAUUUUUCUUGAUAAAAGAAAUGCUAACAUAAUUUAAAUCUGCUAAUAAGCUAACAAAGUUACAGCUAAUGCAGCAAUAAUUGAUUUUCAAGUCAAAUAUGAACUUCAAGAAAAUAGAGCAACAACAAGAGAGGUAAUGCAACAAUUCAUAUUGAUAGUCCGUAAAGCUAUAAUCUCUCUUUUUCUUAAAGCAGGUUAUAUCCAUUCAGCAUUAUGCAUCAUUGGCAGAAUUAAGCAAAGCCUGAUCGUAAAUGGUAACCAAGAUGCUCUGCACUUUCACUCAAAAGAUGAAUGGUCUAAAAGAAGCAAGAAAUAACCAAAACUAUAAAAGAAUCAGCAAUACAAAAGAAAAGAAACACUCCAAGAGACAAAAAGUUGAUUGUCCAAGAAAACACUUUAUCGAUUAAUAAUUGUAGGACAAGCCAACUAGUUAAUUAGGUCUUUGUUCCGAAAUAUAUUCUCAUUAAUGGCUUCAUAUUUUGCAGGUAAUCAUUGCAAAAACGAAAGCCAUUGCAGAAACAAUCAAGAUGCUGUCAAGCAACUACUCCUCAGAGAGGCAUGCAUCUCUUGCAUUCCUGUUAGAACUUUCGAAAUCUGAACUGCUAUUGGAAAACAUUGGAUCUACCGCUGGGUGUAUACUGAUGCUGAUUACAAUGAAAUAUAAUGAGUCUACUGAUGCAUUUGCUGCUGAGAAAGCUGCAGAAACACUAAAGAACAUGGAGAAAUGUCCAAAGAAUAUCAAGCGCAUGGCAGAAAAUGGCCUCUUAGAACCCCUUCUGAACCAUCUUGUUGAUGGUAAAUCACGUAACCCACUCUUUAUUUCCGAAUACAUUUGUCGGUGCAUGAAUAUACAAUAAAGGCUCAAAAGCAAAACAUACAAUUAGGUGAUAAAAAGACGAAGCUGAUGUCUGAUGGUAAAGGAUCACAUGUUCAUCAGUCAAAAGUGCAAAAUUAACAUGGCAUAUACUAUGUCUUAAUUAAUUCUGAAUAAUAGGGUUUAACAUUUAUACAUGCCAAAAGAAGGAUGAUAUAAAGACGGAUGUUAUGCAAUAACAAUGACAUCCACCUUAAUUUACCAGUUAUAACUUCCUUCCACCAAAUUUACCUUGGAUGCUUCACCUUUGAAGUACAUUUGACAAUUGGGCAUGACACUUCUUUUCGUAGAAAUUCAAAUUCAAGAGUUUUGGAGUAUCUAUUAUUUUAUAAAAAACUUACAAUAUGUUCAUUAACUUGCAUAUUAUAAAACUCACCUCUACAUGGAUUAAUGAUGCAAUGGAUUUCUCAUCCAAUCUUUUGAUAUUUGGAAAUAAAAAGAAAACAUUAAAUUUCAUAUUUUACACACUUUAGAAGCUCACAUGUUGGACAUCUGACACAGCACAUGAUUUGCCUGCCACAAUGGAAGUUUAAACUAAGCUCUUAGAUCCAGAAUUGCAAUUUUUAGUGAAAUAUCAACUAGGUUCAAGAUUUUGAUAGGCAAGCAAAACAGACUUCAAGUGGGGCAAAAAAUCAAUACAACAUUUUUGGAUAUAUAAUUUGCAUAAAACAGUGCUAGUGAAAGCAGGACUGUCACCAACAUAUGUGUAAUAAUCUCAAUGAUCUAUUUCCAAUUAUAGCAUUACACUAACAAUCAACAUUUUCUCUAACAUCUAACUUCCACAAACACAUGAACAUAGGCUCAGAAGAGGUGCAGAUGGAGAUGGUAAGCUACCUCGGUGAAUUUGUUCUCGAGCACGACAUGAAAACACGUGUUGCAGAGAGGACCUCGGAGGCCCUGAUCAAAAUGGUCCACAGUGGGAA